Molecule: long non-coding RNA, 3153 nt
Organism: Ictalurus punctatus (channel catfish)
Lineage: Eukaryota; Metazoa; Chordata; Actinopteri; Siluriformes; Ictaluridae
Exons: 3
Source: RefSeq, a predicted model, not a curated record
GCACACACAGCAAAAAAAGUGCUGAAUGUCUUUUUGUCGAUAUAGAGGGAAAAGAGUGGUGACAGAUCUUUAAAAGGGGCAGGGGGAUGAAAGGCAGGACAGAGGGCUACUGGUGCAGAUACAAAAAGCUUAGUGUCUGGGAAGAGUGAUCACCUUUGCUCUGGACCUGAAGGAAGCAAAGUUGGGAUAUCAGAAAAUAUUCUAAAAUAAUCAAACCUAGGAAACAUCCAUCAAAGCUGAAGGCCUUCAGUGACUUUGUGACAACAUGGAAGCAAACCCUGGAUCCACCAGAAACACCAAGGAAGCAAGCAAAAAUAAGUGACAUGACGGCAGUGGGUGCAAACAGACGUGUGCCACAAGCGAAGGUUGACAAGCUCAUGAUUAACUAAAUUUGUGAGGGUCUUCAUCCAUUUUCUGUGGUUGAACAACCUGCUUUUAAGAACUUUUACUGACACUGAAUCCUCAAUGCAAGGUCAUUUCCAGACCCACUCUUCGGACUAGAAUAGAUGGAGCUUCCACUCAGAUGAAGAAGACUUUGAUUUUGCCCCUCAGUAAAGUCAGCUAUGUUGCCACCACUACGGAUUGUUGGACAGUACACCGGCAAAGUUACAUAGGGGUCACAACUCAUUGGAUAGAUGAGGAAAGAUCUGCCGCACUUGCUUGCAAAAAGUUAAAAUGGUACCACACCUCUGAUGUCCUAGCAGGUGCCCUUGAUGACAUUCAUUGUCAAUACAGAAUAAGAACCACAACAGACAGUGUCUCAAAAUUCAUUAAAGCCUUCAGUGUGUUUGGUGAACAAAACCAGCUUGAGGAAGCAGAGUCAGAACAAGACUCUUCUGAAGAACCCAUAGCCGACUACCUGGACACAUUCAGUAUCCUGAAACAAGAUAGCGGUCUUGAGUACCAGCUUCCUCCACUUCAAAGGUGUGCAUGCCACCUGUUAAGCUUAAUCCCCAGAACAGAUGCUGCCAUGGCAGAAGAGAAGAAUGACACAUACAAACGGCUAUCACAUGCAGCCUUUGGGAAAUGCCAAGCAAUCUGGAACAAAUCAGGUCAGUCAUACAUGGCAGCAAAAAUUGUGGAAGAUAAAUGCAAGCUCCAGCUCAUACGGCCAAAUCAAUCUAGGUGGAACUCGACAUACAUGGCUGUGUAGAGAAUCAUAUGGAUCAUACAAGAGAAGGGGAGGAUGCUGUCAGGAAUAUCUGUGAAGAAUUCAAAGUGAAAAUUUUUAAUUAAGUUUUAUUUCUCUUUUCUAAAGUAUGAAAUGUGAAUGAAGCUAAUAAAAAACAUGGACUGAAAGCUAAACUACUUUGCUUAUUACUUUGUUUUUCCAUACUUAUAUAAAAUUAUCAAAAUACAUUUCCAUAUUUGGCUAUAUAUUCCACACCUAUUCCUACAGGAAAUUUGCUAAAAGUUGUAUAGGUUUGAUUUAUGUCAUACAGGCUGAGUCCAGCUGAAAUUGCUUUCCUGACUGACUACUGCACUGUGAUGAAGCCUGUGGUGAAGACAUUAAACAGCCUUCAGUCUGAGACCAAGACACACUUGGGAUCACUGCUGCUGGUGAUCUUCCAGCUACAAGCAAAACUCAGCAUACUGGAGACAUCCUCCAAGAUGUGUCUGCCACUCAUCAGAGCCAUUCAAGAUGGUGCCCAAAAGCACUUUGGUAGGAUGAUGGAAGACCCUGAACUGAUUGUUGCAGCAAUCCUUCUGCCAAAGAUCAAGACCACCUGGACUGACAGGGCUGAUAUCAUAGAUGCAGGUCUGAUCUAUGAGAGACAACACCUUGACCAGAUAGCAGAGGCUGCAGUGGAGUAAGUCAGGCAACAUUCAUCAGAUGAAGAAGAUUUCUUCUCCCCAAUGAAGUCCAGAAGUUCACAAGGUACCGGGGAGCUGGAUUCGUACCUUGCCUGUGUCUCAAACAAGAUGGAUCUGCUGAACUCAUUUCCACACAUCAAAAAACAUUCUCUCAAACUCAACACCAGCCUGUCUGCCUCAGCUACCUGUGAGCAUCUCUUCAACUGUGCUGGACUGCUGUUCACUGCAAAGCAAGUGCUAAUUUUGAAAACCAACUGUUGCUCAAACUUAACAGGAGGUUCAGAGAAAAAUGCUCUAAAGAUGGAUACACAAAUAAAGGAACUGUAAUCUGGAUAUACAGUGGAGCAGGUCAACUUUAAAAAGUUUUUAUAGAAGGCGCUAUGCGGUUCAUUUCACAUGUUUUGUUAUUGGACAGGUAGAGUGAUGUCUGAUAUCAAAGAAUGGCAUAGUUUUGUCUUAAAAACAGCUUGAAAGUCCCUGAUAUUUAGAUUUUGGUCUUCUUUGGGCCAUUUAGGGAAAACCACAAGACUUAUGGCAUUGACCCAUUUUGAUUUAUAGAUUUCCAGUAUGUGUCAAGUCAUGGCAAACUAGUGAUUCUAUUUCACAGAAUGCACCAUGAACUACAAACAUGGCCGAUGACUGCAACUCCCAAUGUGCAUGAGCAGUCUCUUAAGUAGUGUAGUGAUGGUCAGUGUGAUUGGGAACAGAUGUUUGUGAUUAGUCCUCGGGAGAAGGUGACAUGUCUGUGUGUUCCAUUUGGAGUUGUAGUCAUUGGCCAUGUUUGUAGUUCGUGGUGCAUUCUGGGAAAUGGGGUAACUAGUUUGCCAUGACAUGACACUAACUACAAAUGUGUGUAUUCCUAUUUUAUAUCAUUAGUCAUGUUAAGGUGAAUGUACUGUUAGUAUUCAUUAUCUUCCUUAAUAUAUUUUACUACAAUUUCCAACUAAUGGAUGCAUAUAGUGUGUUGAUAUGUCCUUUCUUCCUCCCUUUCUCUUUGUCUCUUUUGUCAGCUGGCAGGUGUCCUCUUACGCUAUUCCAGCAUCUACUUAACUUUGCAGGUCUGGAGCAGCAUCUCAGUCAUCAGUUGGCCCAUCUGGCCAUAGAUGUAAUGGCUCUGUUUGAAUGGCUUUGUUCUUCUCCUAUACCACCAGCCAUUCCACUGCCUACACUGUACUGCAUAGAUCCAACUAUGAUCCAUAUGUCUACUAAAACAGAAGCCAAUUCUACUCCUGCAACCUUCAUUGAAGGCCUUGUUGUUCUGUCAUCUGAUCAGACCAGUCCUGUCUAUUAAUUUUUCCUUUCUGUUCCCAAUUCUCAAUAAACUUUGUUUUACUCUUA